This 251-nucleotide ribosomal RNA is filed under the name uncultured bacterium. RNAcentral describes it as "partial 16S ribosomal RNA". It matches the Rfam family "Bacterial small subunit ribosomal RNA", at positions 524 to 776 of the family's 1533-position model. The record is from RNAcentral.
UACGUAGGGUGCAGCGUUGUCCGGAAUCAUUGGGCGUAAAGCGCGCGUAGGCGGCCUCGUAAGUCCGUUGUGAAAGUCAAAGGCUCAACCUUUGAAAGCCGAUGGAUACUGUGAGGCUAGAGUCCGGAAGAGGCGAGUGGAAUUCCUGGUGUAGCGGUGGAAUGCGCAGAUAUCAGGAGGAACACCAAUAGCGAAGGCAGCUCGCUGGGACGGUACUGACGCUAAGGCGCGAAAGCGUGGGAGCGAACAGG